CAGUCGCCACGGGAAUACGAAGGGUGCAAGCGUUAAUCGGAAUUACUGGGCGUAAAGCGUGCGCAGGCGGUUUGUUAAGACAGAUGUGAAAUCCCCGGGCUCAACCUGGGAACUGCAUUUGUGACUGGCAAGCUAGAGUGUGGCAGAGGGGGGUGGAAUUCCGCGUGUAGCAGUGGAAUGCGUAGAUAUGCGUAGGAACACCGAUGGCGAAGGCAGCCCCCUGGGCCAACACUGACGCUCAUGCACGAAAGCGUGGGGAGCAAACAGGAUUAGAUACCCGCGUAGUCCCUGUCUCUUAUAC
This 301-nucleotide ribosomal RNA is filed under the name uncultured bacterium. RNAcentral's name for it is "partial 16S ribosomal RNA". It matches the Rfam family "Bacterial small subunit ribosomal RNA", at positions 509 to 807 of the family's 1533-position model. The record is from RNAcentral.